GUGCCCUUCGGGGUCACAUACGUUAACAUUGGAACGAUACAGAGAAGAUUAGCAUGGCCCCUGCACAAGGAUGACACGCUUACACUGGAGUGGUAGAUCUACGGAUCUUU
RNAcentral lists this small nuclear RNA (110 nucleotides) under Piloderma croceum F 1598. Lineage: Eukaryota; Fungi; Basidiomycota; Agaricomycetes; Atheliales; Atheliaceae. The record is from RNAcentral.